This is a long non-coding RNA of Suricata suricatta (meerkat), 789 nucleotides long. RefSeq lists it as uncharacterized. The transcript has 3 exons. The record is from RefSeq and is a predicted model, not a curated record. Lineage: Eukaryota; Metazoa; Chordata; Mammalia; Carnivora; Herpestidae.
CCCCAGGAGGCCUGUGAGUGUUGCUCUCUCCUUCUAGUGAGUGAAAACGUUCACCAAGCCAGGAUGCUGGAUGAUAACACGGACUGGGGGCCAGAGAAAGUCCAAGAUUUAGGAAGCUGGACAACAGAUGGACAGAUCCCAGAAGCCCUUGCUCUCCCCACCCUCCAGCAGCCAUAAGGCAGGAACCCUGGCUGUCUAGCUCUUCUCUGUCUAGUCCUCAUCGCUGAAACCAGGCCUGGCUCAGGAGAUACUGGAGAAAUGUUUUUGACUGCAGUCACAAAUGAAAUAGAAAAAAAGAAGCAAUGUUAAAGGUAAAUGUGACCCAGAAGGCAGAGAAUCUCGGGACCCUUGGCUCAUGCUUCUCCGUCUAUGUUUGCUCCGUACACAUACUUGGCCUUUUCAUUUUGUUUGUGUGAUGGUUAAGCAGACAGAGUUGAUGAGUUCCGGGAUGAUAAAGAUUAGGUUUUGCAAUCCCAUCUUUUGCAGGAGACUUCCGCCCCUAUCUAGGUUUUCAAAAUCUAACUAAAUGUUAAAUGCAUACAAAAGAAUAAUCACAUGAGCAAAAUGUAAAAAUCGGACAUCCAACUACUUACAGCCCAGCUUAGGUAGAGGUUACAACUCGAGUACCACCAAAGCCCCACUGGGUCCCUCUCCUCCUCCCUCUCCCCAACCUGGCCCCCUCCCAAAUUUCUGUUCAUCAUUCCCUUACUUUUCUUUAUAAUUUUACCCUAAAAAUACCCUUUCCUGAAUAAUAUGGUUGUUGUGCAUGCUUUUGAACUCGAUAUAAAA